This 44-nucleotide transfer RNA is filed under the name Saccharomyces cerevisiae (brewer's yeast). RNAcentral's name for it is "tRNA-Asp fragment". Lineage: Eukaryota; Fungi; Ascomycota; Saccharomycetes; Saccharomycetales; Saccharomycetaceae. The record is from RNAcentral.
UCCGUGAUAGUUUAAUGGUCAGAAUGGGCGCUUGUCGCGUGCCA